GACGAACGCUGGCGGCGUGCCUAAUACAUGCCAGUCGAACGGAAAGGCCCUGCUCUUGUGGGGUUCUCGAGUGGCGAACGGGUGUGUAACACGUGAGUAACCUGCCCUUGACUUUGGGAUAACUUCAGGAAACUGGGGCUAAUACCGGAUAGGAGCUCCUGCUGCAUGGUGGUGGUUGGAAAGUUUCGGCGGUUGGGGAUGUACUCGCGGCUUAUCAGCUUGUUGGUGGGGUAGUGGCUUACCAAGGUUUUGACGGAUAGCCGGCCUGGGAGGGUGAACGGGGACAUUGGGACUGAGAGACGCAGCAGAAGCGAACGGGAGGCAGUAGGCGAGAGUAUGACGCAGUGGGGGGGAGCGUGAUGCGAAGGUGCCGCGAGCGGGAUAACGGGCUUCGAGUUGAGAACCGCUUUCGCAGGAGAUGAGGAGGGAGUGACGGUAAUGAGUAAGAAAGCAACGGCUAACUACGUG
This 468-nucleotide ribosomal RNA is filed under the name uncultured bacterium. RNAcentral's name for it is "partial 16S ribosomal RNA". It matches the Rfam family "Bacterial small subunit ribosomal RNA", at positions 28 to 507 of the family's 1533-position model. The record is from RNAcentral.